This 472-nucleotide ribosomal RNA is filed under the name uncultured bacterium. Its description in RNAcentral is "bacterial SSU rRNA". It matches the Rfam family "Bacterial small subunit ribosomal RNA", at positions 30 to 495 of the family's 1533-position model. The record is from RNAcentral.
UGAACGCUAGCGGCAGGCUUCAUACAUGCAAGUCGAGGGGCAGCAUAAAUUACUUGUAAUUUGAUGGCGACCGGCGAACGGGUGCGUAACGCGUAUGCAACUUACCUUUUACUAGAGAAUAGCCAAGAGAAAUUUUGAUUAAUGCUCUAUACACUUAUUAAUUCACAUGAAUCUAUAAGAAAAGCUCCGGCGGUAAAAGAUGGGCAUGCGUCCUAUUAGCUUGUAGGUGAGGUAAUGGCUCACCUAAGCUCCGAUAGGUAGGGGUCCUGAGAGGGAGAUCCCCCACACUGGUACUGAGACACGGACCAGACUUCUACGGAAGGCAGCAGUAAGGAAUAUUGGACAAUGGAGGCAACUCUGAUCCAGCCAUGCCGCGUGAAGGAAGACGGCCUUAUGGGUUGUAAACUUCUUUUGUACAGGAAGAAACCUUUCCACGUGUGGAAAGCUGACGGUACUGUAAGAAUAAGGAUCG